GAUGAACGCUGGCGGCGUGCCUAAUACAUGCAAGUCGAGCGAACAGACGAGGAGCUUGCUCCUCUGACGUUAGCGGCGGACGGGUGAGUAACACGUGGAUAACCUACCUAUAAGACUGGGAUAACUUCGGGAAACCGGAGCUAAUACCGGAUAAUAUAUUGAACCGCAUGGCUCAAUAGUGAAAGACGGUUUUGCUGUCACUUAUAGAUGGAUCCGCGCCGCAUUAGCUAGUUGGUAAGGUAACGGCUUACCAAGGCAACGAUGCGUAGCCGACCUGAGAGGGUGAUCGGCCACACUGGAACUGAGACACGGUCCAGACUCCUACGGGAGGCAGCAGUAGGGAAUCUUACGCAAUGGGCGAAAGCUUGACGGAGCAACGCCGCGUGAGUGAUGAAGGUCUUCGGAUCGUAAAACUCUGUUAUUAGGGAAGAACAAAUGUGUAAGUAACUAUGCACGUCUUGACGGUACCUAAUCAGAAAGCCACGGCUAACUACGUG
Molecule: ribosomal RNA, 497 nt
Filed under: uncultured bacterium
Lineage: Bacteria
Description: partial 16S ribosomal RNA
Rfam family: Bacterial small subunit ribosomal RNA
Source: RNAcentral